RNAcentral lists this ribosomal RNA (495 nucleotides) under uncultured bacterium. RNAcentral's name for it is "bacterial SSU rRNA". It matches the Rfam family "Bacterial small subunit ribosomal RNA", at positions 23 to 507 of the family's 1533-position model. The record is from RNAcentral.
CUCAGAUUGAACGCUGGCGGCAUGCUUUACACAUGCAAGUCGAACGGUAACAGGUCUUCGGAUGCUGACGAGUGGCGAACGGGUGAGUAAUGCAUCGGGAACGUGCCCCAGUCGUGGGGGGAUAACGCAAGCGAAAGCUGUGCUAAUACCGCAUACGAUCUAUGGAUGAAAGCGGGGGGACCCGUAAGGCCUCGCGCGAUUGGAGCGGCCGAUGUCAGAUUAGCUAGUUGGUGGGGUAAAGGCCCACCAAGGCGACGAUCUGUAGCUGGGUCUGAGAGGACGACCAGCCACACUGGGACUGAGACACGGCCCAGACUCCUACGGGAGGCAGCAGUGGGGAAUUUUGGGACAAUGGGCGCAAGCCUGAUCCAGCAAUGCCGCGUGCAGGAAGAAGGCCUUCGGGUUGUAAACUGCUUUUGUACGGAACGAAAAGGUCCGGGUUAAUACCCUGGGCUCAUGACGGUACCGUAAGAAUAAGCACCGGCUAACUACGUG